Molecule: small nuclear RNA, 110 nt
Organism: Lagopus leucura (white-tailed ptarmigan)
Lineage: Eukaryota; Metazoa; Chordata; Aves; Galliformes; Phasianidae
Source: RefSeq, a predicted model, not a curated record
GUGUGAAAGAUCAUUAGCAGUCUUCUUCAUAAGGAUGGAAGUGGCCCAGUACAGCACGCAUACGGUUAGGGCACUGUCACCUACUUUGUGGCAUCUAACCAUGUUUGGAU